RNAcentral lists this ribosomal RNA (254 nucleotides) under uncultured bacterium. RNAcentral describes it as "partial 16S ribosomal RNA". It matches the Rfam family "Bacterial small subunit ribosomal RNA", at positions 524 to 777 of the family's 1533-position model. The record is from RNAcentral.
UACGGGGGGGGCAAGCGUUGUUCGGAAUUACUGGGCGUAAAGGGCUCGUAGGCGGCCAACUAAGUCAUACGUGAAAUCCCUCGGCUUAACCGGGGAACUGCGUCUGAUACUGGAUGGCUUGAGAUUGGGAGAGGGAUGCGGAAUUCCAGGUGUAGCGGUGAAAUGCGUAGAUAUCUGGAGGAACACCGGUGGCGAAGGCGGCAUCCUGGACCAACACUGACGCUGAGGCGCGAAAGCUAGGGGAGCAAACGGGG